GAUGAAGAACGUAGCGAAAUGCGAUAAGUAAUGUGAAUUGCAGAAUUCAGUGAAUCAUCGAAUCUUUGAACGCACCUUGCGCUCCUUGGUAUUCCGAGGAGCAUGCCUGUUUGAGUGUCAUGAAAUUCUCAACCUUUUCAGCUUUCUUUGUUGAUCAGGCUUGGAUGUGGGAGUAUGCGGGCUUCUCAGAAGUCGGCUCUCCUGAAAUGCAUUAGCGGGACCUUUGUUGCCUGGCUUUGUUGUGAUAAUUAUCUACGCCAUUGUAGUCAAGCAGCUUAAAAUGAGGUUUCAGCUUCUAACCGUCUCCCCUGAGACAACUUUUUGACAAUUUGACCUCAAAUCAGGUAGGACUACCCGCUGAACUUAAGCAUAUCAAUAAGCGGAGGA
This 387-nucleotide unclassified non-coding RNA is filed under the name soil metagenome. Its description in RNAcentral is "partial contains 5.8S ribosomal RNA, internal transcribed spacer 2, and large subunit ribosomal RNA". The stretch from base 1 to 120 matches the Rfam family "5.8S ribosomal RNA", at positions 35 to 154 of the family's 154-position model. The record is from RNAcentral.